UCACUUUUGGGAGCAUCUAGAGUUCCUUGAACAAUGUGAUAUCUCACCCCAAUCCCCCUCUCAACCAAAUAUUGAACGAGAACACCUCCAGUUGGACAACAGACUGCAACCAAAGCUGACGUGUGCAAGAAAUAAUCCUACAUAGCUAAUGAUGACGUGAGCAAUCCCAAGGUGACACGUGGCACACAGAUGGUGUGAUAGUGACAUGAUUAGUAGACAAUCUAGAUUUAUGUUUUUGUUUUUAUAUUCUAAGUCAAAUGGAUUCAGAAAUAUUUAUUUGAUUGUAAUUCAUGAAAAUUAUGAGAACAAUAUUUUGUAUGCUUAUAUAUU
Long non-coding RNA from Cucurbita maxima (winter squash), 330 nucleotides. RefSeq lists it as uncharacterized. NCBI's taxonomy places the organism in Eukaryota, Viridiplantae, Streptophyta, Magnoliopsida, Cucurbitales, Cucurbitaceae. The transcript is spliced from 2 exons. The record is from RefSeq and is a predicted model, not a curated record.